RNAcentral lists this ribosomal RNA (413 nucleotides) under Bacteroidales bacterium. Its description in RNAcentral is "bacterial SSU rRNA". It matches the Rfam family "Bacterial small subunit ribosomal RNA", at positions 1 to 402 of the family's 1533-position model. Lineage: Bacteria; Pseudomonadati; Bacteroidota; Bacteroidia; Bacteroidales. The record is from RNAcentral.
UUUACAACGGAGAGUUUGAUCCUGGCUCAGGAUGAACGCUAGCGGCAGGCUUAAUACAUGCAAGUUGAACGAGAUUUACUUUUGUAGCAAUACUUAGGUAAUGAAAGUGGCGCACGGGUGCGUAACACGUAUGCAACCUACCCUUAACAGGGGAAUAACAGAGAGAAAUUUCUGCUAAUACCCCAUUGUAUUUUUAAUUGGCAUCAAUUUUAAAUUAAAGCUCCGGCGGUUAAGGAUGGGCAUGCGUCCCAUUAGCUAGUUGGUAGGGUAACGGCUUACCAAGGCAACGAUGGGUAGGGGUUCUGAGAGGAAGGUCCCCCACACUGGUACUGAGACACGGACCAGACUCCUACGGGAGGCAGCAGUAAGGAAUAUUGGUCAAUGGGCGCAAGCCUGAACCAGCCAUGCCGCGU